Molecule: long non-coding RNA, 560 nt
Filed under: Homo sapiens (human)
Lineage: Eukaryota; Metazoa; Chordata; Mammalia; Primates; Hominidae
Description: T cell leukemia/lymphoma 6
Rfam family: T-cell leukemia/lymphoma 6 conserved region 1 (bases 133-245)
Source: RNAcentral
AGACAAUGUGAUGGUCAUGAAGUCUCUGUCAGAGAGGAAAGAGGGAGUUAAUCUAUAAUGAAGAUCAACAGUGAAGAGGAAAGGGGUCUUCCCUGGAACGCUUCAGUCAUAUACGACAUUUUACACAACAAUAAUGGACCUGUGUAAGGAGGUAUGUGUGGGAGAAGAUUCCAGAAGGUCUUGAGACACUCCAGAUGAAGGUUGGUGUGGGGCUGUGCUGCUGGAGCACCAGAGAGUGAAAAGAGGUUAUCUCCCUCUGUGCCAGGCCAGAGUGCAGUGGUGCAAUCACGGCUCACUGUAGUCUCAACCUCCUGGGCUCAAGAGAUCCUCCCACUUCAGCCUCCCAAGCAGCUAAGACUACAGGCACGUGUCAUCAUAUCUGGCAAAUUAAAAAAAAAAUUAUAGAGAUGGGCUCUCCCUGUGUUUCCCUGGUUGGUCUCAAACUCCUGGGCUCAAGUGAUCCUCCCAUCUUGGCCUCCCAACUUACUGGGAUUACAGGCAUUUGCCACUGUGCCCAGCCCAUUUCAAUAUUUCUGAUCAAUAAAUGUGCCUGUCCUUCA